RNAcentral lists this transfer RNA (69 nucleotides) under Marmota monax (woodchuck). It matches the Rfam family "tRNA". From Rfam's summary of the family: Transfer RNA (tRNA) molecules are approximately 80 nucleotides in length. Lineage: Eukaryota; Metazoa; Chordata; Mammalia; Rodentia; Sciuridae. The record is from Rfam by way of RNAcentral.
GGGGCUGGGGCUUAGUGGUACAGCACUCGCCUGACAUGCGUGAGGCAAUGGGUUCUACCCUCAGUACCA